CAGUAGCCACGGUAAUACGGAGGGUGCAAGCGUUAAUCGGAAUUACUGGGCGUAAAGCGCACGCAGGCGGUCUGACAAGUCAGAUGUGAAAUCCCCGGGCUUAACCUGGGAACUGCAUUUGAAACUGUCAGGCUGGAGUCUUGUAGAGGGGGGUAGAAUUCCAGGUGUAGCGGUGAAAUGCGUAGAGAUCUGGAGGAAUACCGGUGGCGAAGGCGGCCCCCUGGACAAAGACUGACGCUCAGGUGCGAAAGCGUGGGGAGCAAACAGGAUUAGAUACCCCGGUAGUCCCUGUCUCUUACAC
Molecule: ribosomal RNA, 301 nt
Filed under: uncultured bacterium
Lineage: Bacteria
Description: partial 16S ribosomal RNA
Rfam family: Bacterial small subunit ribosomal RNA
Source: RNAcentral